GUCAGUGUUGGUACAUGUACAAAUGUACUUGGAUGAUGCGGCCUAAUAGUUUCGUUUUACACACCCUAGUCACUGUUCAAUAUUAUGAAUACAGAGAUGAAACGCUGACAUUCUCAAUGUAUGCGGAAAAAAAAUUGCAUUAAUUGUUUUCCUUAUUGCUUACAUUUGCCUCCCUACUAACAUGUUCACAGGAGUGCCAGGAGCAGACAUAAUUAGGCGCCAUCCCAACAGCGGUCAUUUAUUUUAUACAUUGAAUCCAGACAUCAAAAAUAUGGCUGAUUUACUAUGCGGAUAUAUAUAGAUUUUUAAAUUAAAGUGCACAUAUGCAGGUCAGUUUUUGGUCGAUGCAGUCAAAUAAUUUUGUUGUAUAAGUCAGCAUGAGGUAUCAUAUCUACUGAAAUUUUGUUACGUAUCAAUAUUUUGAAUAAAAGGAGGACAUGCUGACAUCCAAAAUUAAUGCAAACAAAAAUGUGUUGUUAUUAUAUUGCAAUAUUACUGUCCAUUGUA
This 507-nucleotide long non-coding RNA is filed under the name Mytilus galloprovincialis (Mediterranean mussel). The record is from RNAcentral. Lineage: Eukaryota; Metazoa; Mollusca; Bivalvia; Mytilida; Mytilidae.